This 23-nucleotide small nuclear RNA is filed under the name Arabidopsis thaliana (thale cress). RNAcentral describes it as "snRNA_17091". Lineage: Eukaryota; Viridiplantae; Streptophyta; Magnoliopsida; Brassicales; Brassicaceae. The record is from RNAcentral.
AUGGCUAAAAUCUGGUUGGGCCA